AUUGAACGCUAGCGGGAUGCCUUACACAUGCAAGUCGAACGGAGUGGCGAACGGGUGAGUAAUGUAUCGGAACGUGCCCAGUAGCGGGGUAUAACUACGCGAAAGCGUAGCUAAUACCACAUACUAUUGGAGCGGCCUAUAUCUGAUUCGCUAGUUGGUGGGGUAACGGCUCACCAAGGCGACGAUCCGUAGCUUGUUUGAGAGGACGACCAGCCACACUGGGACUGAUAAACGGCCCAGACUCCUACGGGAGGCAGCAGUGGGUAAUAUUGGACAAUGGGGGAAACCCUGAUCCAGCCAUCCCGCGUGUGUGAUGAAGGCCUUCGGGUUGUAAAGCACUUUUGGCAGGAAAGCGGUACCUGCAGAAUAAGCACCGGCUAACUACGUGCCAGCAGCCGCGGUAAUUC
RNAcentral lists this ribosomal RNA (407 nucleotides) under uncultured bacterium. RNAcentral describes it as "partial 16S ribosomal RNA". It matches the Rfam family "Bacterial small subunit ribosomal RNA", at positions 30 to 526 of the family's 1533-position model. The record is from RNAcentral.